RNAcentral lists this long non-coding RNA (271 nucleotides) under Homo sapiens (human). Its description in RNAcentral is "LHRI_LNC1046.1". Lineage: Eukaryota; Metazoa; Chordata; Mammalia; Primates; Hominidae. The record is from RNAcentral.
CAAAAAGAAAAUUAAUUUAAUUAUAUUGUAUUUAGAACAGGGGUUGGCAAACUAUAGCCCAUAAGCCAAAUCCAGCUUGCAGCCAUUUUUAUAAAUAAAGUUGCAUGGGAAUAUACCUAUGCCCACUUAUUUACAUAUUGUGUAUGGCUGCUUUUGCACUUUAAUAACGGAGUUAACUAAUUGCAAGAGAGAACUUAAAGCCCACGAAAUCUAAAAUAUUUAUUAUCUGGCCCUUUACAGAAAAUGUUUGCUAGCCUAUUUUAGAAGGUGU